RNAcentral lists this ribosomal RNA (497 nucleotides) under uncultured bacterium. RNAcentral's name for it is "partial 16S ribosomal RNA". It matches the Rfam family "Bacterial small subunit ribosomal RNA", at positions 28 to 507 of the family's 1533-position model. The record is from RNAcentral.
GAUGAACGCUGGCGGCGUGCCUAAUACAUGCCAGUCGAGCGAACAGACGAGGAGCUUGCUCCUCUGACGUUAGCGGCGGACGGGUGAGUAACACGUGGAUAACCUACCUAUAAGACUGGGAUAACUUCGGGAAACCGGAGCUAAUACCGGAUAAUAUAUUGAACCGCAUGGUUCAAUAGUGAAAGACGGUUUUGCUGUCACUUAUAGAUGGAUCCGCGCCGCAUUAGCUAGUUGGUAAGGUAACGGCUUACCAAGGCAACGAUGCGUAGCCGACCUGAGAGAGGGAUAGGCCACACUGGAGCUGAGACGGGGUCAAGAGUACUAAGGGAGGCAGCAGUAGGGAAUCUUACGCAAUGGGCGGAAGCAUGACGGAGCAAGGCCGCGUGAGUGAUGAAGGUCUUCGGAUCGUAAAAAUCUGUUAUGAGGGAAGAACAAAUGUGUAAGUAACUAUGCACGUAGUGACGGUACCUAAUCAGAAAGCCACGGCUAACUACGUG